UUUAAAUGCAACCAUAAGUUUCCGUACCUAACUUUUUAUAAUUAGUAUUUUUAUUAUUAUAAGAUAAUAAAAUAUGAAUAGUACUUUAUGCAUGACUUAUGUUUUUAAUUUUUUUAAAAAAUAAAUAAGACGAGCGAUCAAAGCUAGGUACAAGACUGCACGACAA
Oryza glaberrima (African rice) is the source of this 166-nucleotide non-coding RNA. Lineage: Eukaryota; Viridiplantae; Streptophyta; Magnoliopsida; Poales; Poaceae. The record is from Rfam.